GACGAACGCUGGCGGCGUGCCUAAUACAUGCAAGUUGAGCGCUGAAGGUUGGUACUUGUACCAACUGGAUGAGCAGCGAACGGGUGAGUAACGCGUGGGGAAUCUGCCUUUGAGCGGGGGACAACAUUUGGAAACGAAUGCUAAUACCGCAUAAAAACUUUAAACACAAGUUUUAAGUUUGAAAGAUGCAAUUGCAUCACUCAAAGAUGAUCCCGCGUUGUAUUAGCUAGUUGGUGAGGUAAAGGCUCACCAAGGCGAUGAUACAUAGCCGACCUGAGAGGGUGGUCGGCCACAUUGGGACUGAGACACGGCCCAAACUCCUACGGGAGGCAGCCGUAGGGAAUCUUCGGCCAUGGACGAAAGUCUGACCGAGCAACGCCGCGUGAGUGAAGAAGGUUUUCGGAUCGUAAAACUCUGUUGGUAGAGAAGAACGUUGGUGAGAGUGGAAAGCCCAUCAAGUGACGGUAACUACCCAGAAAGGGACGGCUAACUACGUG
This 497-nucleotide ribosomal RNA is filed under the name uncultured bacterium. RNAcentral describes it as "partial 16S ribosomal RNA". It matches the Rfam family "Bacterial small subunit ribosomal RNA", at positions 28 to 507 of the family's 1533-position model. The record is from RNAcentral.